This 802-nucleotide ribosomal RNA is filed under the name uncultured bacterium. RNAcentral's name for it is "bacterial SSU rRNA". It matches the Rfam family "Bacterial small subunit ribosomal RNA", at positions 1 to 804 of the family's 1533-position model. The record is from RNAcentral.
UUAGAGUUCGCUUCUGGCUCAGGAUGAACGCUAGCGGCAGGCUUAACACAUGCAAGUCGAGGGGCAGCGCGAGUAGCAAUACUUGGCGGCGACCGGCGCAAGGGUGCGUAACACGUGAGUAACAUACCUGUAUCAGGGGAAUAAGCCAUGGAAACGUGGUCUAAAACCGCAUAAUAUGAACUAUAGGCAUCUAUAGAUUAUUAAAAUUACGAUGGAAACAGAUUGGCUCGCGGAACAUUAGCUAGUUGGUAAGGUAACGGCUUACCAAGGCGACGAUGUUUAGGGGUUCUGAGAGGAAGGUCCCCCACACUGGAACUGAGACACGGUCCAGACUCCUACGGGAGGCAGCAGUGAGGAAUAUUGGACAAUGGAUGGAAAUCUGAUCCAGCCAUGCCGCGUGAAGGAUAAGGUCCUAUGGAUUUUCAACUUCUUUUGUAUGGGAGCAAUAAGGUCUACGCGUAGACUGAUGAGAGUACCAUACGAAUAAGCAUCGGCUAACUCCGUGCCAGCAGCCGCGGUAAUACGGAGGAUGCAAGCGUUAUCCGGAUUUAUUGGGUUUAAAGGGUGCGUAGGCGGAAGGAUAAGUCAGCGGUGAAACGUACGGGCUCAACCCGUGAACUGCCGUUGAAACUGUUCAUCUGGAAUGCGGAUGCUGUGGGAGGAAUGUGUAGUGUAGCGGUGAAAUGCAUAGAUAUUACACAGAACACCGAUUGCGAAGGCAUCUCACAAAACCGCGAUUGACGCUGAGGCACGAAAGUGUGGGGAUCGAACAAGAUUAGAUACCCUGGUAGUCCACACAGUA